RNAcentral lists this ribosomal RNA (425 nucleotides) under uncultured bacterium. RNAcentral's name for it is "bacterial SSU rRNA". It matches the Rfam family "Bacterial small subunit ribosomal RNA", at positions 354 to 796 of the family's 1533-position model. The record is from RNAcentral.
GUGGGGAAUAUUGGACAAUGGGCGCAAGCCUGAUCCAGCCAUGCCGCGUGAGUGAUGAAGGCCCUAGGGUUGUAAAGCUCUUUCACCGGUGAAGAUAAUGACGGUAACCGGAGAAGAAGCCCCGGCUAACUUCGUGCCAGCAGCCGCGGUAAUACGAAGGGGGCUAGCGUUGUUCGGAAUUACUGGGCGUAAAGCGCACGUAGGCGGACAUUUAAGUCAGGGGUGAAAUCCCAGAGCUCAACUCUGGAACUGCCUUUGAUACUGGGUGUCUUGAGUAUGGAAGAGGUAAGUGGAAUUCCGAGUGUAGAGGUGAAAUUCGUAGAUAUUCGGAGGAACACCAGUGGCGAAGGCGGCUUACUGGUCCAUUACUGACGCUGAGGUGCGAAAGCGUGGGGAGCAAACAGGAUUAGAAACCCUAGUAGUCC